UACAGAGGGUGCGAGCGUUAAUCGGAAUUACUGGGCGUAAAGCGUGCGUAGACGGUAGCGUAAGUCAGAUGUGAAAGCCCCGGGCUCAACCUGGGAAUUGCAUUUGAGACUGCUCUGCUCGGGUGCGGAAGAGGGAAGCGGAAUUUCCGGUGUAGCGGUGAAAUGCGUAGAUAUCGGGAGGAACACCAGUGGCGAAGGCGACUACCCGGCCUGUUCUUGACGCUGAGGCGCGAAAGCGAGGGGAGCAAACGGG
This 253-nucleotide ribosomal RNA is filed under the name uncultured bacterium. RNAcentral describes it as "partial 16S ribosomal RNA". It matches the Rfam family "Bacterial small subunit ribosomal RNA", at positions 524 to 776 of the family's 1533-position model. The record is from RNAcentral.